GUGUUGUAUGAAAGGAGACAAGGUUAGCACUCCCCUUGAUAAGGAUGGAAGAGGCCCUUGUGGCCUGUAAAACACACAUAUGGUUAAGGCAUUUCCACCCAAUUUGUGUCAUCUAAUCAUGUUUUUUC
Colius striatus (speckled mousebird) is the source of this 128-nucleotide small nuclear RNA. The record is from Rfam. Lineage: Eukaryota; Metazoa; Chordata; Aves; Coliiformes; Coliidae.